AGCAAAUUACUACUCCGUGUUCAGAGCAGAACCGAGAAGGAACACCAAAGCCAAGACACAAGGCAUUGUUGCACAAAAAUCAGUUUUGUACCUUGAAGCCCUUGGAUGGAUAUUCGAUACUACAAAUCUUAAGAAGCAAGCAAUCAAGAAUCUGCAAUAGCAUUGGCAUUAUAUCCCAAAGUCUAUAACAAAAUGAAGAGAUUGACAAUCUUUGGUUGCAAAUUGAACUGCAAAUCUUAAGAAGCAAGCAAUCAAGGCAAAAUGAAGAGAUUGACAAUCAUUGGUUGCAAAUUGCAACGACGACACAAGUGUUUAGAAUCCGAGGAGAAGAGAAGCGUCAUGGCCUGUUUGAUAGAAUUCUUAAAUUGUCCCUCAAAUUGGAUAAAGAGCUGUUUCUGCCGCACCCUGUUUACGACGUUGGUGAGAGCUAGUAUCUUGAUUAGGAACUUUUAUCAAUUUUCUCAAACUGCGCUGCCUACUCAAAGGAACAGGUGAAGCCUGAUUAUGGGUUAAGAUCAUAAGAAAAUAUAGAGAAUGAGAACAUGGGUUCAUUAGGAGGUUAAUUAAGAUAUUAGAGUUUAUGUACAGCUUUUUUUGACUUCAUCAUUGAGAACAUGGGUUCAUUAGGAGGUUAACUAAGAUAUUAGAGUUUAUGUACAGCUUUUUUGACUUCAUGAUUUAAUUACAAGAUUCAUUCUUUCUUUCA
This 706-nucleotide long non-coding RNA is filed under the name Nicotiana benthamiana. RNAcentral describes it as "long non-coding RNA (NBEN_LNC017835)". Lineage: Eukaryota; Viridiplantae; Streptophyta; Magnoliopsida; Solanales; Solanaceae. The record is from RNAcentral.